RNAcentral lists this ribosomal RNA (149 nucleotides) under uncultured bacterium. RNAcentral's name for it is "partial 16S ribosomal RNA". It matches the Rfam family "Bacterial small subunit ribosomal RNA", at positions 383 to 524 of the family's 1533-position model. The record is from RNAcentral.
CUGAUGCAGCCAUGCCGCGUGUGUGAAGAAGGCCUUCGGGUUGUAAAGCACUUUCAGUCAGGAGGAAAGGUUAACGGUUAAUACCCGUUAGCUGUGACGUUACUGACAGAAGAAGCACCGGCUAACUCCGUGCCAGCAGCCGCGGUAAU